Molecule: long non-coding RNA, 965 nt
Organism: Tupaia belangeri chinensis (Chinese tree shrew)
Lineage: Eukaryota; Metazoa; Chordata; Mammalia; Scandentia; Tupaiidae
Exons: 3
Source: RefSeq, a predicted model, not a curated record
GUUAGAAUUGUAAGCUAGUAUGUUCUGUCCAGGAGGAAAUCAAUGGCGAAUUGAAGCUUUAAGGCAGGAAAAUGGGGAAUGAUAAAUCCAGAGGAAAAUGUUUACAGAUUUAUUCUUAUCAGAAUGAAAGAAAGAUAAAGACAGAAAGAGACAACACCCCCAACAGGGUCCCAACACAGAGACACCCUCCCCCACUCUAGCCCCAACCUUUAGCCAGCGUGGGACCUGGUACACGUAACAGAAAACACUGAAAACGAACGUCAGUUUCAGGUUCCUCACAUGUACUCUGGGAAGAUGGUGAGGUUUCAAACAUUCAAAGCAAUGUUCUAUUGGCUAACCAAAUGAAUAAAUCUGAAUAGAAGACAGAAAAUAUGAAGAGCAUGAAAACAAAGAAUCAUAAUUCUCGCCUGAGGUUGCUAGAGAAAGAUUCUUGGCAAAGUACAUGUAAUUAAUCCAGUCAUUCAAGAAAGUACUGAGUUCAUGCCGGAAAUAAAGACAGUAACUUCUGGAGAUACAGUAACGAGGACAGACAUAAUCCCUGCCUUCAUACAGCUUACGGCCUUACAGCAGAGAGAAACGCAAAGGAGCAAUAAAUAUGCUGUGAUAAGUACUAAAACGCAAAUAUGCACACAAUGUUAAGGAACACAUGGUAGGUGUAUUUGCUUAUGGACAAACACCUAAUUCAGACUUUCCAGAGGAAGAACUGUCUAAGCUGGGACACAAAAAAGAAGGAGCUCCAGCUGAGCUUAGAGUAGAGGGGGAAAGUGUCCCAAAGGCAAAGGGGCAGCAUGUGUAAUGACAUAGGCCCGGGCAGAGAAAAUGCCAGAGAGAACAUGCCAGAGAACUGAGCAGAGUCCACGGUGGCUGGGGUAUAGGACAGGAGGGAGGAGAAGGGCUUUCCUAAGAGCAAUGGGGUAGCCUUGGGAGAAUGUUAGCCAGAGAGAAUAAGAUCAGAUCCACAUUAU